ACCCCACCUGGCCAUAGUGACCCGCUCAAGAGUGGGCAAAACUCCUUCCCUGGGCUUUUCUCAACUGGAUCUGGGAGAAAGCUCUUUCCUCUCUGAUGGCAAAGCUGAGAAGAUGUGAGCCCAAAGCCGCCAACAGCCAUAUACCUCACAUGUGGAAGAAGCCAAUCUGCAAUAGGAGAAUGAAGUCAACAUGCAGAGAAAAACAGACAAGAAGACAACAAGAGAAUUUUCAUGUCAGACUCCCGAGCAGUGUACCUGGAACAUAGUCGGUGGGACUCAAUGAAUGUUAGUUGAACGAUUCGAGAAGAAUGGCCGGCCAAAUCUGGACUCUUAGGGAAUGGCCACAACUAGCAGAAAGGUAAAGAAGCAGGCAGAUGUGAAGACAUUUUAUACUUUAUUUCCUCAGCAGCUUCCAAUUCUACCAUAAGCUACAAAUAUGGUGAAAAGAUAAAAAGCUGAGCUUGGAAAAAAAUUAGAAGAGUUUUGAGAGAAACAACCCAUCCAAAAUUGUAGUAAAAGUGACAACAGAAAACAGAAGUGGCUACAAUGAAAAGACAGCUGAAGUACCAUGGAAAAGCACAAUGCCCUUCCUGAUGGCCUCCAAAGGUCUUAAGGGGACCGUCUUCAUCUUCCUGUUCCUCAUCUUCAUCAGGAUUAUUAAUGACCUCCAAGCCAGCUUCAAUAACUUCUACCAAUUCAUCUCGCUUGUCUUUUCUAACUGGCUUUUCCUCAGGAUGGCGAGUGAGACCCAUUUCCAACUGGAAUACUUUCAUUAAAGUAAAACUUUCAAAGGGAAUGACUCCAUACUCACUAGGUAAUUUGGCUCCUAUGCUAACUUCAGCUUUGUCAAUUUGGGAAUGAAGAAACUCUAAAAGAUCACUAGGUGUUUGUUCUUUGUUGCCUUGAUAGCCUAUGCCAUUAGGCCCUACAUUCUUUCUCUCUUGUAAUGAUCUCA
Molecule: long non-coding RNA, 955 nt
Organism: Canis lupus familiaris (dog)
Lineage: Eukaryota; Metazoa; Chordata; Mammalia; Carnivora; Canidae
Exons: 4
Source: RefSeq, a predicted model, not a curated record